GUGGGGAAUUUUGGACAAUGGGCGAAAGCCUGAUCCAGCCAUGCCGCGUGCAGGAUGAAGGCCUUCGGGUUGUAAACUGCUUUUGUACGGAACGAAAAGACUCUGGUUAAUACCUGGGGUCCAUGACGGUACCGUAAGAAUAAGCACCGGCUAACUACGUGCCAGCAGCCGCGGUAAUACGUAGGGUGCAAGCGUUAAUCGGAAUUACUGGGCGUAAAGCGUGCGCAGGCGGUUAUAUAAGACAGAUGUGAAAUCCCCGGGCUCAACCUGGGAACUGCAUUUGUGACUGUAUAGCUAGAGUACGGCAGAGGGGGAUGGAAUUCCGCGUGUAGCAGUGAAAUGCGUAGAUAUGCGGAGGAACACCGAUGGCGAAGGCAAUCCCCUGGGCCUGUACUGACGCUCAUGCACGAAAGCGUGGGGAGCAAACAGGAUUAGAUACCCGAGUAGUCC
RNAcentral lists this ribosomal RNA (450 nucleotides) under uncultured bacterium. Its description in RNAcentral is "partial 16S ribosomal RNA". It matches the Rfam family "Bacterial small subunit ribosomal RNA", at positions 354 to 796 of the family's 1533-position model. The record is from RNAcentral.